GCAGGAUUCGGUCUCGAAGUGACGGGAAAGGCAGAGUCCGAUUCCGAUGUGGUGUGUGUUGUGUUGUUUGUAAGAAGAAUUCAGCCGUUGGAAAUCUUUGAAGCGUGGUUUAUCUCGAUUGGGUGUAACGUACCCAUCUGGAGGGAACAGAGUUUCUUUGCAAGUUUCUGACAGACAGCAAGAGAGAAUAUGAACACUUGACUUCUCAACAUCAUUUGAGAACAAGUCAAUAAGCAAGAGAGAAUGAACACUUCGAUUCCUCGCCAUCACUUUGAAGUUGCUGCUCAGGAAUCCAUGAUUUCAGCUUUUCUACAAAGAUUGCUCUUGCUCCUCAGGAAUUUGAUUUGGCCGAAAAAACAAAACACGAACAUUUAUUGCAGCUGAACAACUUUUGUACUUAAUGUUUAAUGUUGGCAUGUUACCUUGAACGCAGCAAAAUUGCAGAAGUAUGAAGCCGAAGCUAAUUAAGAAGGAAGAUUCAAUCUAGGAUGCAUAUCUUGGCACUGCUAUUAUUUCAGUCAGAAAGAAAAAUGGAACACUGUUUCAGUUACAGCAUGCAUGUAUUUGCCUGUGCUACAGAUCUGUUAUGUGAUUAUCCAUUCAUGUGAAUUAUCCCUUCACAAACGAAAGUUUAUAGUACAUGGCACGAAGGUAAAGCAAAAAAGAGAAGAAAAAAAAAACUACCAUAUACAUGAUUUGUUACA
This is a long non-coding RNA of Brachypodium distachyon (stiff brome), 704 nucleotides long. RefSeq lists it as uncharacterized. The transcript has 2 exons. The record is from RefSeq and is a predicted model, not a curated record. NCBI's taxonomy places the organism in Eukaryota, Viridiplantae, Streptophyta, Magnoliopsida, Poales, Poaceae.